This 492-nucleotide ribosomal RNA is filed under the name uncultured bacterium. RNAcentral's name for it is "partial 16S ribosomal RNA". It matches the Rfam family "Bacterial small subunit ribosomal RNA", at positions 29 to 507 of the family's 1533-position model. The record is from RNAcentral.
AGUGAACGCUGGCGGUAGGCCUAACACAUGCAAGUCGAACGGCAGCACAGUAAGAGCUUGCUCUUACGGGUGGCGAGUGGCGGACGGGUGAGGAAUACAUCGGAAUCUACUUUUUCGUGGGGGAUAACGUAGGGAAACUUACGCUAAUACCGCAUACGACCUACGGGUGAAAGCAGGGGAUCUUCGGACCUUGCGCGAUUGCAUGAGCCGAUGUCGGAUUAGCUAGUUGGCGGGGUAAAGGCCCACCUAGGCGACGAUCCGUAGCUGGUCUGAGAGGAUGAUCAGCCACACUGGAACUGAGACACGGUCCAGACUCCUACGGGAGGCAGCAGUGGGGAAUAUUGGACAAUGGGCGCAAGCCUGAUCCAGCCAUACCGCGUGGGUGAAGAAGGCCUUCGGGUUGUAAAGCCCUUUUGUUGGGAAAGAAAAGCAGCAGGUUAAUACCCCGCUGUUCUGACGGUACCCAAAGAAUAAGCACCGGCUAACUUCGUG